ACAGCCACAUCACAAUGAAACACCAGUUCCCAUAUGAUCACCAAAGUUAAGCAAUAUUAAGCCUGGUCAGUACCUAGAUGGGUAACCGCUUGAGAAUACCAGGUAUUGUAAG
Non-coding RNA from Acanthosepion pharaonis, 112 nucleotides. Lineage: Eukaryota; Metazoa; Mollusca; Cephalopoda; Sepiida; Sepiidae. The record is from the annotation of a GenBank genome assembly.